CCUACGGGGGGCAGCAGUGAGUAAUAUUGGUCAAUGGCCGGAAGGCUGAACCAGCCAAGCCGCGUGAGGGAGGAAGGCGCAGAGCGUCGCAGACCUCUUUUGCCGGGGGACAAAAGGCCGGACUCGUCCGGUCCUGAGGGUACCCGGAGAAAAAGCAUCGGCUAACUCCGUGCCAGCAGCCGCGGUAAUACGGAGGAUGCGAGCGUUAUCCGGAUUCAUUGGGUUUAAAGGGUGCGCAGGCGGGCCUUUAAGCCGGCGGUAAAAUCGCGGGGCUCAACCUCGCUCCGCCGUUGAAACUGGCGUUCUUGAGUGGGCGAGAAGUAUGCGGAAUGCGUGGUGUAGCGGUGAAAUGCAUAGAUAUCACGCAGAACUCCGAUUGCGAAGGCAGCAUACCGGCGCCCAACUGACGCUGAAGCACGAAAGCGUGGGUAUCGAACAGGAUUAGAUACCCUUGUAGUC
This 459-nucleotide ribosomal RNA is filed under the name uncultured bacterium. RNAcentral describes it as "partial 16S ribosomal RNA". It matches the Rfam family "Bacterial small subunit ribosomal RNA", at positions 338 to 795 of the family's 1533-position model. The record is from RNAcentral.